ACGGCUCAGUAACACGUGGAUAACCUGCCCUUGGGUCUGGGAUAACCCCGGGAAACUGGGGAUAAUACCGGAUAACGCAUAUAUGCUGGAAUGCUUUAUGCGUAAAAUGGAUUCGUCUGCCCAAGGAUGGGUCUGCGGCCUAUCAGGUAGUAGUGGGUGUAAUGUACCUACUAGCCUACAACGGGUACGGGUCGUGAGAGCAAGAGCCCGGAGAUGGAUUCUGAGACAUGAAUCCAGGCCCUACGGGGCGCAGCAGGCGCGAAAACUUUACAAUGCGGGAAACCGUGAUAAGGGGACACCGAGUGCCAGCAUCAUAUGUUGGCUGUCCAGAUGUGUAAAAUACAUCUGUUAGCAAGGGCCGGGCAAGACCGGUGCCAGCCGCCGCGGUAACACCGGCGGCCCGAGUGGUGAUCGUGAUUAUUGGGUCUAAAGGGUCCGUAGCCGGUUUGGUCAGUCCUCCGGGAAAUCUGACGGCUCAACCGUUAGGCUUUCGGUGGAUACUGCCAGACUUGGAACCGGGAGAGGUAAGAGGUACUACAGGGGUAGGAGUGAAAUCUUGUAAUCCCUGUGAGACCACCUGUGGCGAAGGCGUCUUACCAGAACGGGUUCGACGGUGAGGGACGAAAGCUGGGGGCACGAACCGGAUUAGAUACCCGGGUAGUCCCAGCCGUAAACGAUGCUCGCUAGGUGUCAGGCAUGGCGCGACCGUGUCUGGUGCCGCAGGGAAGCCGUGAAGCGAGCCACCUGGGAAGUACGGCCGCAAGGCUGAAACUUAAAGGAAUUGGCGGGGGAG
This 793-nucleotide ribosomal RNA is filed under the name uncultured archaeon. RNAcentral describes it as "bacterial SSU rRNA". It matches the Rfam family "Archaeal small subunit ribosomal RNA", at positions 85 to 876 of the family's 1478-position model. The record is from RNAcentral.